ACGUCGGCGCUGGCCCCGGUGGGCGAGCCGGAAACGGAUUGGCGUUCUGGCCUCCGGGUCAGGCUCCCCGGCGGAGGAAGCGGGCGGCGCCGCGGGGCGGAGCCUUUGUGGCGAGGUGAUCUCGGGAACAGCGACCCCUUCAGGACCGUCGCGGCGCCGCCGCGGGGCGCGCCGGGAACUUGGCUCGCUCCGCCCGUGGGAAGGUCCGCGUCGCUGGGAGGAGCGCGCCGCGGAGUCGCAGCAGCGCGGCGCUAUGUGGUUAGUCCCAGAGAACCAAGAGCAGACGACUCCGGCCCCUCUUUUUAUUUGGAGGAAAAAUAUGGAUGUUGGAAAAUAGGAUUGCAGUAGCUGUGUCAUUAGAACCAGCAGCUCCCUGUCAUCUUGUACCCGCGCCCGCAGGUCUCGGAAGUGGCAGAAGAGGGUUGAGUUAGUGUCCCGCCCAGCCGGUUUUCAUUCAUUCAGCAUUAUCGAAUGUCUACCGUGUACCAGAGCUGAAUCGGGUGCUGGAGAUACUGUGCUUCAAAACACUGUCCUUGCCUUCAAGAUGCUCUCGGUUCUUUAACUUGACCACCUUAGGGGACUUCACUCCCAGCAGAAGCUCUGUAACCAUUUGCUGACGCAAGGACUUUGUGACUGCCUUACAGGGUCAACCCUAGGUGCCCACUGUGUGCGAAGUAUGAUGCCCAGGACACAGAGUGCCGAGCGGAGGUCACAAAGAAGUAGAAAAUGGUCACUGGAAUUAAAAUGCUUACAUUCCUGAAAUAAAUUCUUCGUUUGGUUGCAUGAAAUAGUGGCCAAUCCUCCUCCACUUCCUCCUCGAUCUGUUUACAGAAAGCACUCUAUGGAAGAAAGAAGAAUUAAAAUGAAAGCACAAAGAAAGAGCAGAUGAAAAAGGCCCAUUUGAAAAACAAAACAAAAGAAGAAAAUGAAUAAAAGAAAUGGAGUCAGUGUGGCAGUAAAUUGUAUGGUUUAAAUUCUUCCAGAUGGAAGUAAUAAAAACACAGUGUUCAGGGACAGCUGUGAUGCAAGGGAAAAUGUUUUUGUUUUUGUUUUUGUUACCGUCUGUGAUGACUACUGUGUAUGUCAUUUUUCAAAUAGCAUUGAAACUUUUAAGUCCUUGAAUAACUUGGGAAAAUAUGCUACAAUUAAAAAAUUUUUUUUGAUUGUUCUUAGAUUGAAAUAGAAUUGUAACUGGCUUUGGAGUCAGAUGAAUGGAAACCUGACCCUUGCUUUGAUCAUUUAAGAGUUAUGUGAUUCUUACUAAGAGUUUGCAGAUCUUUUUAGGUCUAGUUUUUCCUUUGUGAUACUGGAAUAAUUAUGGAUGUUUAAAUGAAAUAAUCUAUGAAAAGCACUUCUUACAAGACUCCUGGCACCUAAU
Myotis myotis is the source of this 1378-nucleotide long non-coding RNA. RefSeq lists it as uncharacterized. NCBI's taxonomy places the organism in Eukaryota, Metazoa, Chordata, Mammalia, Chiroptera, Vespertilionidae. The record is from RefSeq and is a predicted model, not a curated record. The transcript has 3 exons.